CUCAGUCUUUUUGGUGAAACAAACAGAAAAUGCACCGAUUGGUUGCUUGAGAAGCAAUAGGAAGCACUUCCUUGCUACUUAUUUGGUAAAAUAAUGAACAGUUACAUUCUUCUUCAUCAUCAGUCACAUGUUCUCAAAAACACCUAGGAUUGUUCUGCUGUAGCCUGAUCCUUGGCAGUCAGAACAAGCUCUGUAAGGGCUGAAAAGCUUUUUAUGUUGUUUGUUUCCAGUCCCAUCUUUCGUAUUUGCUCUCCAAAAUACUCGACGUCUAGAGCCAGCUGCAGUCGGAUUUUAUCAUCA
This 300-nucleotide long non-coding RNA is filed under the name Gallus gallus (chicken). Lineage: Eukaryota; Metazoa; Chordata; Aves; Galliformes; Phasianidae. The record is from RNAcentral.